Priapulus caudatus is the source of this 877-nucleotide long non-coding RNA. RefSeq lists it as uncharacterized. The record is from RefSeq and is a predicted model, not a curated record. NCBI's taxonomy places the organism in Eukaryota, Metazoa, Priapulida, Priapulimorpha, Priapulimorphida, Priapulidae. The transcript is spliced from 2 exons.
ACUGCUACUGAGUGUGAGAGUGAGUCACUGAGGCUGCUACUGUAGGUGGAGAGUGAGUCAGUGAGACUGCUACUGAGGUGGAGAGUGAGUCAGUGAGACUGCUACUGAGGUGGAGAGUGAGUCAGUGAGACUGCUACUGAGGUGGACAUUGGAACCUGUUGCCAGAAACAUCGUGAAUACUUGUGUCUAUCGUAAAUCUAAAAUGUCAUAAUUUGUGCAUGACACUUUACUAUAAACGAUCUGACAUUUUAGACGUAUUUAUAGACAUAAAAACUGACUAAUGUGUGUGAAAACAGGUCUCAGGUUACUAGCUGGUACUGAGGGAGGUGGACUGUGGUAAUUAACUGUGAUUUAAGAGAGUCUGACACUAAUUGUGUUGAUUACACCGAUGUCAGACUGCUGUGGAGAUGCAGACCAUGUUUAAUUACUGUGAUUAAAAACAGUCAGACACUAGUCAUGGCAAGAACUAAUAGAAAGUAGGAAAAUGAAAAAGGUAAACGUAUUCACUGAGUGUAUAAGAUAUCAGACUGCUAAAUUAAGGGGGAUGUCUUACGCUAGUAAAGGAUUGCUACAGGAGAGACAGUUGAUAUACUGGUCAUUGGUUUUGUAUCAAGGAAGGAAUCGUUGCUGAUUGUAAUAACAACGUAGCGAUCUGCUGAUGCUACAUCCCCACAGCUAGAAAUUCUAGGAUAAGAAUUGCGAAUCUGAAUGAUUGUAUUUGAUAUGAUCUCACUGUUAAUCUGUGCCAAAGGGUAUAAUUAGUAUUAAGCAAAGUGCAGCCAGUUUGCCUGAUUUGCUGAAAUUAUUAUAGCAAUAAUGUACUGAAUUCUGAAACUUUCUGCUAUUAAAUAAAGCCUUGAGUUUUUAUGAAAUGAGA